CCUACGGGAGGCAGCAGUGAGGAAUAUUGGACAAUGGGCGCAAGCCUGAUCCAGCCAUGCCGCGUGCAGGAAGACGGUCCUAUGGAUUGUAAACUGCUUUUGUACAGGAAGAAACACUCCCUCGUGAGGGAGCUUGACGGUACUGUAAGAAUAAGGAUCGGCUAACUCCGUGCCAGCAGCCGCGGUAAUACGGAGGAUCCAAGCGUUAUCCGGAAUCAUUGGGUUUAAAGGGUCCGUAGGCGGUUUAAUAAGUCAGUGGUGAAAUCUGGUCGCUCAACGAUCAAACGGCCAUUGAUACUGUUAGACUUGAAUUAUUAGGAAGUAACUAGAAUAUGUAGUGUAGCGGUGAAAUGCUUAGAUAUUACAUGGAAUACCAAUUGCGAAGGCAGGUUACUACUAAUGGAUUGACGCUGAUGGACGAAAGCGUGGGGAGCGAACAGGAUUAGAUACCCUGGUAGUCCACGCCGUAAACGAUGGAUACUAGCUGUUCGGAGCAAUCUGAGUGGCUAAGCGAAAGUGAUAAGUAUCCCACCUGGGGAGUACGUUCGCAAGAAUGAAACUCAAAGNGAGUGACGUGAGAGAGCGACGAGACGACGACGGAGGGAGGAGG
RNAcentral lists this ribosomal RNA (610 nucleotides) under uncultured bacterium. RNAcentral's name for it is "bacterial SSU rRNA". It matches the Rfam family "Bacterial small subunit ribosomal RNA", at positions 338 to 951 of the family's 1533-position model. The record is from RNAcentral.